CCUUUGCCACAAACCCAACUGUGAGCUGGCCCACUGGGACCUUCCUGUUGCCAGUUCCAACUGGUGAUGUGGCAUCUUCUACUUCUCCUGCCUCUCUGGCUGUGACUUGCCAUGUUUUAUUUCCCAGCUACUCCUUCUCAAAGGCAGCUAUUGCAAGAAGAGGGAUGCACUUGCUUCUGCUAUUCACCUUCCUCAGUCUCCUGUGUCUGCCGGUGCAGGGCUGGGUCCUUAAGAAACCCACCCAGCAUGAGCAGUGGAAGAUGCUGGACCGUUUGCAGAACAGAGAGCUGUUUCUCAGUGCCCUGCAGUCGUACCUCAGCACCAAGGGUAUCCAAGUGGAGAGAACUGCUCCGCCAUUUGUCCUUCUCUCAAAGGAUCACAACACUGGGACACAUGGGGAGCUGGAAGGGCAAGAGCUGGUGAUCAUGGAGCCUGACAUGGAUGGGUGGCUGAAUAAAUAAAUAGGCAUGAACAGCAGGUGAAAUACUGUCUUUAAACAGCUGGUCAUCCCCUGAACAUCUCUGAUUUGCUGCUUUUGAUGUUGCAUUCUUCUUACAUUUGCCAGGGAAUUGCUUUUUGAUGGUUAGAUAAAUUUCAUCAUAUGUAUUGGCACAUCCUCAGUAGAUUUUGCCUAAGCUGAAUUUGAGGGCCAAUGUGGUGUAGUGAUCAGAGUGGCACAUUGAAAA
This is a long non-coding RNA of Lacerta agilis (Sand lizard), 686 nucleotides long. RefSeq lists it as uncharacterized. Lineage: Eukaryota; Metazoa; Chordata; Lepidosauria; Squamata; Lacertidae. The record is from RefSeq and is a predicted model, not a curated record. The transcript has 3 exons.